RNAcentral lists this ribosomal RNA (600 nucleotides) under Triticum aestivum (bread wheat). Its description in RNAcentral is "partial small subunit ribosomal RNA". The record is from RNAcentral. Lineage: Eukaryota; Viridiplantae; Streptophyta; Magnoliopsida; Poales; Poaceae.
AUGUAUGGAGAUCUCUCCCCUCGUGCUACAUCAUGCACGUCGUCACUGCCUAUCAUGCCGAUUGCUUCUGAGGGUGAAGCUGUUGUCGAGGUUGUGGCUCCGGUGCUGCAGAUUAUGCCUAGGUUGCAGAAGCUCUGUGAGGAGCCCACUUCGCCUAUUUCGAUGGUGCUACCUAAGGAGUCAGGGUCGCUUGGAGGGGCCUUGGCGAUGCCAACUGUGACCUCACCGCAGUCGUUGGAGCCCAGUCAGCCUCUCGCCUUUGUGGACCGUGAAGGUUUGGAUGCUGUUGUUGCUCUCUCACCUGUGGCUAUUGGGCAGGCGACACCUAAUGUGGUCGGUACUUUGGCACCUAAUUCUGUGGCGCUGAAGCCCGUCUUUGACCAUGAAGCUAUGUGGGCACGUAUUGACGAGGUGGUCUUCAAGAAAAAGCUUUGUGGCUUGCUCGCCUCUUUGGAGGUAGCUAGCCCUGGGUCUGGCAAGGCGAUUGCUUGUCUCCUAGCGGAGGAGGCUUCUACAGGCAAAAUCAGGAAGGUGAAGAAGGUUCUUAGGAGCAUAGGCAAGAAGAGUGGCGCCCUUGGUAAGGCGUCUGCGGUUGCCUAA